AGAGUUUGAUCCUGGCUCAGAACGAACGCUGGCGGCAUGCCUAACACAUGCAAGUCGAACGAAGUCUUCGGACUUAGUGGCGCACGGGUGCGUAACGCGUGGGAAUCUGCCCUUGGGUGCGGAAUAACUUCUCGAAAGGGAUGCUAAUACCGCAUAAUGUCGUAAGACCAAAGAUUUAUCGCCCAAGGAUGAGCCCGCGUAAGAUUAGCUAGUUGGCGGGGUAAAAGCCUACCAAGGCGACGAUCUUUAGCUGGUCUGAGAGGAUGAUCAGCCACACUGGGACUGAGACACGGCCCAGACUCCUACGGGAGGCAGCAGUGGGGAAUAUUGGACAAUGGGCGAAAGCCUGAUCCAGCAAUGCCGCGUGAGUGAUGAAGGCCCUAGGGUUGUAAAGCUCUUUUACCAGGGAUGAUAAUGACAGUACCUGGAGAAUAAGCUCCGGCUAACUCCGUG
RNAcentral lists this ribosomal RNA (453 nucleotides) under uncultured bacterium. Its description in RNAcentral is "bacterial SSU rRNA". It matches the Rfam family "Bacterial small subunit ribosomal RNA", at positions 8 to 507 of the family's 1533-position model. The record is from RNAcentral.